This 498-nucleotide ribosomal RNA is filed under the name uncultured bacterium. RNAcentral describes it as "partial 16S ribosomal RNA". It matches the Rfam family "Bacterial small subunit ribosomal RNA", at positions 28 to 508 of the family's 1533-position model. The record is from RNAcentral.
GAUGAACGCUGGCGGCGUGCCUAAUACAUGCAAGUCGAGCGAACAGACGAGGAGCUUGCUCCUCUGACGUUAGCGGCGGACGGGUGAGUAACACGUGGAUAACCUACCUAUAAGACUGGGAUAACUUCGGGAAACCGGAGCUAAUACCGGAUAAUAUAUUGAACCGCAUGGUUCAAUAGUGAAAGACGGUUUUGCUGUCACUUAUAGAUGGAUCCGCGCCGCAUUAGCUAGUUGGUAGGGUAACGGCUUACCAAGGCGACGAUGCGUAGCCGACCUGAGAGGGUGAUCGGCCACACUGGAACUGAGACACGGUCCAGACUCCUACGGGAGGCAGCAGUAGGGAAUCUUCCGCAAUAGGCGAAAGCCUGACGGAGCAACGCCGCGUGAGUGAUGAAGGUCUUCGGAUCGUAAAACUCUGUUAUUAGGGAAGAACAAAUGUGUAAGUAACUAUGCACGUCUUGACGGUACCUAAUCAGAAAGCCACGGCUAACUACGUGC